GUCUCCUCGGAGACACCUUCUUAAAUUGGAACAACGUACAGAGAAGAUUAGCAUGCCCCUGCGCAAGGAUGACACGCAUAAUUUGAGAAGUGGUCCAAUUUUUU
Molecule: small nuclear RNA, 104 nt
Filed under: Sorghum bicolor (sorghum)
Lineage: Eukaryota; Viridiplantae; Streptophyta; Magnoliopsida; Poales; Poaceae
Source: RNAcentral